Molecule: long non-coding RNA, 5457 nt
Filed under: Sus scrofa (pig)
Lineage: Eukaryota; Metazoa; Chordata; Mammalia; Artiodactyla; Suidae
Description: lncRNA (ENSSSCG00000056298.1)
Source: RNAcentral
UUUGACUAUCUGUCCUGAUUUAAAAAGAAAGGACUUUAAUUAAAAAUUAAUUAGAUUCAUGUCCUCGUAAGGUUGAGACAUGGGUUCAUUUAUUUAUUUAUCUAUUUACCUUAAGUAGCAAAUAUACUGGAAUACAAGACCUGGUGCCAGAGUUCCCGUGGUGGCGCAGUGGUUAACGAAUCUGACUAGGAACCAUGAGGUUGCGGGUUCGGUCCCUGCCCUUGCUCAGUGGGUUAACGAUCCGGCGUUGCCGUGAGCUGUGGUAUAGGUUGCAGACGCGGCUCGGAUCCCACGUUGCUGUGGCUCUGGCGUAGGCCGGUGGCUACAGCUCCGAUUCGACCCCUAGCCUGGGAACCUCCAUAUGCCGUAGGAGCGGCCCAAGAAAUAACUAAAAAAAAAAAAAAAAAAAAAAAAAAAAAAAAAAAAGACCUGGUGCUAAAGACUGGGGAGGCAGGCUUGAAGAAGACAAAGUACUGGGAUUGACUGAAUUGACCUGUGAAAUGGGGCUCUUUGCCUCCUUUGAAUGUUGCAUGACAUAGCAAGACAGAUUAUGGUACUGUAAUAGAAAUGUGCCAGAAAUUUAAUAGGAGUUAAUUUUCUAUUUCCUCAGAAAUGAGGACAAAACUCUUUCAUGAUGCAUAGAAGGUAGAUUUUCCCUUUGAGUCUCCCCUCUUUAAUAAAUGUUCUUCAAGAAUUUAACUUGUAUGUGCCUUUAUGAAAGUGUCAGGUACUAUGCUACAUGCUUUAAACACAUGGUUUUAUAUAAGCCAAGUAGUACAGAGCAUUGUCAGCAUAUAAAAUAAAGCUGUGACAUUUUCUGUUUGACUCUGGCUCAAUGGCAUCAAUUGCACUAGUUCCAUCUCAGAAUUUUUUUUUUACAGCACAUCUUCCUCUAGUCUGAAGUCAUUGCAAGUUUUCACAUUUAAGUUUAAAUAUUGCUGAAACAGUUGUGCUGUUUUCUUGCUAUUACUUGUGCAGAGUGAAGCACAAGUUACAAGCUGAGGGUGGUGAAAGUGGUAGCUGAAGGUGGAAACUCAAAAGUACAUCUGUCAGAUUUUAACUUCAACUACCUAGUGCUGUUUGGAAAUGUUAAGUUUUACUCAACCAAACAGACCAUGAAGGGGUUUCCAUUUUGUCACAAAACCCACUGAGGAAUAAUUCAAAGGCAAACAAGACGGUUUUCUGUGAUCCAGGAAAGGUGUGAUAAUGAAGAAAACCUUCAAGAGUCAAUUAAGGAAAAUGUCAGAGAAGUAAAACAUUUCAGUAAAUUCUUGAAAGAUGAGUAUGAAUUUGAAAUGAGUUCAGGGAAUAGGAAUGGUAAAACUAGAAAGUGUUUCAGGCUUGGCAAAGAGCAUGCAAGAAAGCAUAGACGUGUGAAAGGGCAAGGAUUCUUCAUGCAAAUAGGGGAACUGUGCACCACCUCUUGGUCAAAUAAAACAUUUAGUUUUUCAGAAGCGUAACUUUUCUAUGGAAUGCGUGAGACUACAGUGUGCUUUGAAAAGUUCUGGAGAACUAAAAUUCUUGUGAAAGGUUCUAAAUGGAGAUAUCUUCACUUAAACCAGGGAAAUGUGUCCUAGUUGAGCUGUUCCAACAAAGGGAAAGCAGCAUCUAGAGAGUUCAGAUAUUGAAUAUAUUCAACAAAAGGUGGGUCAAACACCGAUGAGAAAAGAUUCAUACCUAAGAAGGAUGAGAUAACCUAACAAUCCAUCCCAACCCAAGACCCUGUUACACAGUUUAAUUUUUAAAGGCAGUUUUUCUAAGAGAUUCUUAAAAUAUUGUGUUGAUUUUAAAUAUAAAUGUUAUUUUUCCGCUGCUUAAAUUUUUAAUAAUCUCCACAAUCCAAAGUGUGUGGGAAGUCAGCUGAAGUAGAGAAGUUCUAGAAAUAGCUAUCUGAUGUUGCAACCCACUGUGAAAAACUUUGAAAGUGGCGCACUUAGAGUUUUAGAAGCAUUCUGCCAUAUUCCAUCAUUAAAAGAAUAGCACAGAUCUGGUGAAAUAAAGAGAAAUUGUGUUUUGGAGGCUAGUAAUGCACUAAAGGAUUUUAUUUAAUUUAUUUUAGCUAAAAUUGCUCAAAAACAUAGUGGAAAAUAGUCGAAUGAUAUUUCACCAUAAGAUUUAGUCUUUUAAAAUAACAAAACAUAUAGUUGUAGAUACUAUAAGUGACAAUUUAUUUGCAAUUAUAUGAAAGAUGUUGAAACAUUAUACAGUUAAAAUUUAAUCAUUAAAAUCAAUUUCAUCAUGCUAACUUUGAAUACGGAAAUAGAAACUGUCCUUCCUACAUAAACAUUAAAAAAAUAUGAGCGAUAAGACUGAAAGAAAACAUCUAUUUUAUAGCUUAUUCCAUGUAAAUACUAUUGGGCAAACUGAAGACCACAGAGGCAAUGUGACUUGCCUAAUGUCACACGAAAACUCAACAUCGAACUGGAACCAGGAAGGGAACAUCAAAAUUACAAGUCUGCAUUUUUAUCUAAACCUUAAAACUGAUUAUUUUAUGUAGAGCCCCACCUAGACCACAAACAAUCUAUAGGAAUAAUGUUACCUAUCCAGCAUUGGUUUUCUUUGAUGAAAUAGACUAAAUGCUAUGCAUUAAUAAGAACAUGCCAUAAAACCCCAUUAAUUCCAAUACUGGAGUACUAACUCAGCAACUAAGUAUCAAGGACAAAUAUGUACAAAACAAUUUGCAAGGUGCCUUGAAAGAUAAAGUGAUGAUUAAUAACAUGUUUCUAUGUUUUCAAAUAUAAGCACGUCACAUCAAUCAAAAGUAUGCAUUAUCCAAUAUUCAUGAACAAUCAAAUUCUAAUUUCAAUUACUUGAGGCACAUUUAGGUUAAGGAAAUGUUAAUUGUUAUGUUGACAACAGAGCCUUGAUAAAAAUUCACAAUUUUUGAAUCAAUAUUCAUUUUUUUGGAGUCUAUUACGAGGGGAAUAAGCUUUAUAAUGAAAACAUCCACUAAGAUGUUACUCAUACUAGUGAGAAAAUAGUGUUUCUAUUUAAAAUGGUUUAGUAGCUAAGUUAAUUAUGGCAUAUCUGGUAUAUGCAGUAGUAUACAACAUUGUAAAUUAUCUUUAAGAGCAAUUUACUGGCAUAGAACAUCAAUAUUUAAAAACUUCAAACAUUCUGUAAUAAAACAAAUAUUAAAUAUAAUAAGAUAUCCAUCUAGAAAGAGAUUAACAAAAGCUAUGUCAAAAUGGGUGUCUUAUAUAAUGAUCUUUAUAUUUUCUUUUUCUAAUUUUAUCUAUUUUUAAAAAUUUCAACAAAUUAUGUGUAUUUUCAAUGAAACAAAAAAUAUAUUUAUAAAUAUGUGUGUGUAUGUGUGUGUAUGCAAUGUGUGUAUAUAUACAGUCAAUCCUCUCCCCCACAGAGAAACAGAUUUUUUAUGGACCAGCUUUAACGCAUACAGAGUUGGUAAUGAUUUUUUAUAGUAUUGCUGUCAUUUGUAUUUUUGCCGCACUUAAGGUAGCUUAGAGUUUGUUGUCCUAAGCAUUUAAAAAAUUCUCCCAGGUAUGGGAAUCGAAGCAACAUGAAACCAGACAUUAUGUGAAUCAUUAAAAUGCAUUUCCCUAAUUGAUAUGAACUCUGAAUUACUGACAAUCCAUUCAGUGCUAUCAAGUGCAAUAAGCAAAGAGAAGAGUGAAAGAGUAGGCUUGGAUGGCCUUGGUAUCCAUUUGCAACAGUGUAGUAAUUGUCUUCUACUACUACUAGUGUCAAUCACCACUUUUUAUUUUUAUCUUGAGAACAUUCACUGUAGUCCCAAUUCAAUUAUCUUUGAAUAUGUAUGUGUAUGUUUCCCAAAGAAGCAGAACCAAUAGGAGAUAUAUCUGUACCUAUACAUCAAAUGUGAGGCAAUCCCUUGAUAAUUAUGGAUAUUGGAACAUACUACAACCUGCCAGCUGCAAACUGUAGACCCAGGAAAGCUGGUGGGCAGUGACCUAGUUCCACUUGGGUUCAAAUGUCUGAGAACCAAAGGAGCCAAUGGUACAAAUCCUAGACUAACGGCGGGAGAAGACCAGUGUCCCAGAUCCAGCAGGCAGCCAAGAAGCAGGACACAUUCUCCUUUCCUGCACAUUUUUUCCUAGCCAGGCGCUCAGUGGGUUGAGUGGUGCCCACCCUCUUUGGGAAGAGGAAACUACUUUGCUGAGUCCAUUGAUUCAAAUGCUGAUCUCCUUCAGAAAAACCCUUUCAGACGUUCUCAGAAGGUGUCAUCUGGACACUCUGAGGUCCAGUCAAUUGGAGACAUAAAAUGAAUCACAGUAUGAAAAUAAACUUUAAUUGAAGGCUUUCAUCUUCCAUAGAGAAAAUAAAUCAUGUUAAAGAUGGGAUGGAGCUAACUGUCAACCCUUAAUAAAGAGAAGUGAUUACAGGUCCUACACUGUGCUAGGAAUUCUCACUAUAGCAACUGAAACUUUGUGGUAACAAAGGGAGACAGAUACAGGUCAGAGUGAGAAGUGAAUCUAUAUCCCAAUGCCUAGUUUUUAUGCUAUAUGCCCGCUAAGAGUUUAUUUCCUUACCUGAGAAGUUAUAAUUAAGCUUAAGCCAAGAGACCAACUGUACUAACCACUAUCAAAAUUACUUUUUAAAUUCUGUUGCAAUGUAGCCAAGUCUAUUGAAGAGCUCUAAGUACAUGGAAAGCCCCAUUGUGAGGGGCCUCAGUAUGAAGCUAAAGAAUUUGGCUUCACAAUGCCCAGACUAUGUUGUUCUAUUGAAUGCUUGUAUUUUAGAAGACAUUAUUAAGUGUCUUCCUGUUUCAUAGGAAGGAAUGUGUUUCAUACUCAAAAAUAUUCCGUAAAUCUUUGGUGAGGGAAAGCUAUCUCCUAAAAUAGGCUUCUUCAUCCCGAGGCUUUCAAGUCAUUAUAAAGUUAGUAUAUAUCCCAAGUCAACAAAGGAGAGUCAGAAGAACUAGACAGCAUUUCUCAGAACUGCUUGAGUCCACAACACCUUUUUAUUUAAAAAUUUUAGUAUUAGUAUUACUAUUAUUUUGUAGAACAUCUAUUACCCUCAUAAUUAAUAAGUGCUAUUUUCAUAGUACAUUGUGGGAAAUCUUUGAGAGGCUUAUACAGCAAAAUAACACUGACCCAAUCCUGUCUACUACCCAGGUAACAAAUCUUCGCUAUUGGCAGAUGUUACUGGAUGCGGUUAGAACCCUCCUGACUUGAAAGAUCCAUACACCUUUUGAUUUUAUUACACCUUCCCGUUGUUCCCCGUGUUUCUCGGUCACACAAUCAGCUCUGAAAUUCAAUCACACAACAAAACUGAAUGCUUAAACAAUGUAAUUCCAUUAAGAGUCAUUUUUUAAAAGAAUGGUUUCCGUUAAUUUGAUGGUUGGCCUUCUGUUAAGCCAAAACUCUCUGUUUUCCUGCAAAUGCCAAGGAGACCAUAUAUAAAUUAAGUGGCCAAAAGUAAUCCAGGUAAAUUAUUUAACAAAGUACAUUUCAAUUUCUUCAGUUCUCAAUAUAUUUU